CGUCAUCACCAUCACUUCUCCCCUAGAGGUGUCAUCGCCAUCCCAAACUCUGAAAAACAACUCUGACUUCGCCAAAGGCGAUCAUCAAACCAACCCACCCUGAAUAGGCCGUGCGGAAUCACAUGAAGAUCCACAUCGGACCUCAGCCACUACAACAAGAAAGCACAGCUCUAACACCAACAGAGAGCUACGAAUGAACCAAGCAGCUGUGAAGUCGAAGCUACAGUGGCAGGGCCCGGUGGCAUAUGCUGACGAGUAGGUGGUCCGUUCGGUGAUCUUCCUCAACACGUAGUAUGACUUCAGUGCACACGACACAGUAUAUGCCCCCCUGGAGACCGACAACAGAACAACAGUUCCACAAGCAUGAGCACACUUGAAUUCAGGUGAGAGUGUGACUACUCCCAUUCCUGUCACGUAGAAAGAAGAAAACUCCCGUUUCGUACAGAAAUUCCAUGAGAAGCAAAAUGGCGCCACGUCGUAUUAUUUGUAUUCUUCGUUCUACGAAUCAGCAAAACCAGAUCACGACUCGGACACGAUUCACAUGGAGCACCUAUCUCACGCUUUUUCGACGCGGUAGCCAGGCUGCCUCUCUUCCUCAUCACUUAUUUAAGACGCCCAUCUGGGUUAAAAAGUCGUGACCGAACAAUGACCGGCGGUAUGUAAGGCCUUCCACAGCGUAGCCGGUGCCAAAUACAUCAAAAGGCAGCCACCUCAUCACCGGUGCCCAAAAUUGCUUUUCAGGCAUCGAUCUCACAACGUAGGGCUUCGGCAGGAAAAAGAUUUUGGGACCCAUAUGAUAAACAAGUACACCACGCUGCUGUGUAUUGAGCAAAGAGAGAGAAGACAUUUGCUGUUCAAAGUUGAGAGUUAAUAGUAUUUUAUUGGCUGGAGGAAUUGGGCAUCGUGUUCUUACUUGCUCCGAUGCCAUGAAAAUUUUGUUGGGGCACCGGCCUCACAACGUGAGGGCACCGGCUAUCGGUGCCAGAAGUUAAUUUGGCACCUCUUUUGGCCUACAUAAUGGAAGGUCUAAGAGGUGGGUUUGAGAGAUCGGUAGUAGAUGCUCUUAAUAAGCUAGUACUAGAAGAAGAACAUGUAUAGGGGAGGAAGGGGACAUAAGUGAAUCCCGAACGGAAGCACGUACCUGCGGGUGAUGGCCGAGUCGAGAAGCACGGUCGACGUUCGUGAUCGAGUUGGCGCCGUGCCGGAGCUAAUUCAAGGGAAUGCCGCCGCCUUCCAACCGGAGACGAGACUGUAUUAUGUGGCUGACAACCUGCGCAGCUUUCAAACAUGGUGGCUCCUUUUGGAAAAGGCUCGGAGUGGAGACCCCAACCGUGUCACUCGUGUCAUACAUAUGCACCUUACAAAGGGCUGCGAGCUUUACUACACAGAUGUGUUGGGUGUACAUUUGGUUUUAACAAAUUUGAGACCUUAUCUUUUUUUUUGUUGGGUUUGCUGCUUUUAUGUCAUUUUAAAUACAUAUGUGUAUGCUGUCAAUACACUAUAGAUUAACAUACACUAGUGUCAAAAACGCUUUUAUAUUAUAAAACGGAGGGAGUAGUCUGAUUUUCUCAACACGUAAAUUUUUUUUUAAAUGGAGGCAAAAGAUUUGGCUCAUUCAUUAAUUAAGCAGAAAAGAACUGCCCAGUUAAUUAAUGAAAAACCAGGCGAAAAUCAUCACAAACUACUGAGUGACACCAAUGAAAGACCUACACGCGCCACUCACAAGAGGGCCUCGUCAAGACUGCACGUCGACAUCAUCGCCAUCACUUCUCCCCUAGAGGCAUCAUUGCCAUCCCAAACUAUGAGAAACGACUCCAACUUCACCUCAAGAGGGCCUCGUCAAGACCGCACCUCGAGCGUCAUCACCAUCACUUCUCCCCUAGAGGUGUCAUCGCCAUCCCAAACUCUGAAAAACAACUCUGACUUCGCCAAAGGCGAUCAUCAAACCAACCCACCCUGAAUAGGCCGUGCGGAAUCACAUGAAGAUCCACAUCGGACCUCAGCCACAACAACAAGAAAGCACAGCUCUAACACCAACAGAGAGCUACGAAUAAACCAAGCAGCUGUGAAGUCGAAGCUACAGUGGCAGGGCCUGGUGGCAUAUGCUGACGAGUAGGUGGUCCGUUCGGUGAUCUUCCUCAACACGUAGUAUGACUUCAGUGCACAUGACACAGUAUAUGCCCCCCUGGAGACCGACAACUGAACAACAGUUCCACAAGCAUGAGCACACUUGAAUUCAGGUGAGAGUGUGACCACUCCCAUUCCUGUCACGUAGAAAGAAGAAAACUCCCGUUUCGUACAGAAAUUCCAUGAGAAGCAAACUGGCGCCACGUCGUAUUAUUUGUAUUCUUCGUUCUACGAAUCAACAAAACCAGAUCACGACUCGGACACGAUUCACAUGGAGCACCUAUCUCACGCUUUUUCGACGUGGUAGCCAGGUUGCCUCUCUUCCUCAUCACUUAUUUAAGACGCCCGUCUGGGUUAAAAAAUCGUGACCGAACAAUGACCGGCGGUAUGUAAGGCCUUCCACAGCGUAGCCGGUGCCAAAUACAUCAAAAGGCAGCCACCUCAUCACCGGUGCCCAAAAUUGCUUUUCAGGCAUCGAUCUCACAACGUAGGGCUUCGGCAGGAAAAAGAUUUUGGGACCCAUAUGAUAAACAAGUACACCACGCUGCUGUGUAUUGAGCAAAGAGAGAAGACAUUUGCUGUUCAAAGUUGAGAGUUAAUAGUAUUUUAUUGGCUGGAGGAAUUGGGCAUCGUGUUCUUACUUGCUCCGAUGCCAUGAAAAUUUUGUUGGGGCACCGGCCUCACAACAUGAGGGCACCGGCUAUCGGAGCCAGAAGUUAAUUUGGCACCUCUUUUGGCCUACAUAAUGGAAGGUCUAAGAGGUGGGUUUGAGAGAUCGGUUGUAGAUGCUCUUAAUAAGCUAGUACUAGAAGAAGAACAUGUAUAGGGGAGGAAGGGGACAUAAGUGAAUCCCGAACGGAAGCACGUACCUGCGGGUGAUGGCCGAGUCGAGAAACACGGUCGACGUUCGUGAUCGAGUUGGCGCCGUGCCGGAGCUAAUUCAAGGGAAUGCCGCCGCCUUCCAACCGGAGACGAGACUGUAUUAUGUGGCUGACAACCUGCGUAGCUUUCAAACAUGGUGGCUCCUUUUGGAAAAGGCUCGGAGUGGAGACCCCAACCGUGUCACUCGUGUCAUACAUAUGCACCUUACAAAGGGCUGCAAGCUUUACUACACAGAUGUGUUGGGUGUACAUUUGGUUUUAACAAAUUUGAGACCUUAUCUUUUUUUGUUGGGUUUGCAGCUUUUAUGUCAUUUUAAAUACAUAUGUGUAUGCUGUCAAUACACUAUAGAUUAACAUACACUAGUGUCAAAAACGCUUUUAUAUUAUAAAACGGAGGGAGUAGUCUGAUUUUCUCAACACGUAAUUUUUUUUAAACGGAGGCAAAAGAUUUGGCUCAUUCAUUAAUUAAGCAGAAAAGAACUGCCCAGUUAAUUAAUGAAAAACCAGGCGAAAAUCAUCACAAACUACUGAGUGACACCAAUGAAAGACCUACACGCGCCACUCACAAGAGGGCCUCGUCAAGACUGCACGUCGACAUCAUCGCCAUCACUUCUCCCCUAGAGGCAUCAUUGCCAUCUCAAACUAUGAGAAACGACUCCAACUUCACCUCAAGAGGGCCUCGUCAAGACCGCACCUCGAGCGUCAUCACCAUCACUUCUCCCCUAGAGGUGUCAUCGCCAUCCCAAACUCUGAAAAACAACUCUGACUUCGCCAAAGGCGAUCAUCAAACCAACCCACCCUGAAUAGGCCGUGCGGAAUCACAUGAAGAUCCACAUCGGACCUCAGCCACUACAACAAGAAAGCACAGCUCUAACACCAACAGAGAGCUACGAAUGAACCAAGCAGCUGUGAAGUCGAAGCUACAGUGGCAGGGCCCGGUGGCAUAUGCUGACGAGUAGGUGGUCCGUUCGGUGAUCUUCCUCAACACGUAGUAUGACUUCAGUGCACACGACACAGUAUAUGCCCCCAUGGAGACCGACAACAGAACAACAGUUCCACAAGCAUGAGCACACUUGAAUUCAGGUGAGAGUGUGACCACUCCCAUUCCUGUCACGUAGAAAGAAGAAAACUCCCGUUUCGUACAGAAAUUCCAUGAGAAGCAAAAUGGCGUCACGUCGUAUUAUUUGUAUUCUUCGUUCUACGAAUCAGCAAAACCAGAUCACGACUCGGACACGAUUCACAUGGAGCACCUAUCUCACGCUUUUUCGACGCUGUAGCCAGGCUGCCUCUCUUCCUCAUCACUUAUUUAAGACGCCUGUCUGGGUUAAAAAAUCGUGACCGAACAAUGACCGGCGGUAUGUAAGGCCUUCCACAGCGUAGCCGGUGCCAAAUACAUCAAAAGGCAGCCACCUCAUCACCGGUGCCCAAAAUUGCUUUUCAGGCAUCGAUCUCACAACGUAGGGCUUCGGCAGGAAAAAGAUUUUGGGACCCAUAUGAUAAACAAGUACACCACGCUGCUGUGUAUUGAGCAAAGAGAGAGAAGACAUUCGCUGUUCAAAGUUGAGAGUUAAUAGUAUUUUAUUGGCUGGAGGAAUUGGGCAUCGUGUUCUUACUUGCUCCGAUGCCAUGAAAAUUUUGUUGGGGCACCGGCCUCACAACGUGAGGGCACCGGCUAUCGGAGCCAGAAGUUAAUUUGGCACCUCUUUUGGCCUACAUAAUGGAAGGUCUAAGAGGUGGGUUUGAGAGAUCGGUUGUAGAUGCUCUUAAUAAGCUAGUACUAGAAGAAGAACAUGUAUAGGGGAGGAAGGGGACAUAAGUGAAUCCCGAACGAAAGCACGUACCUGCGGGUGAUGGCCGAGUCAAGAAACACGGUCGACGUUCGUGAUCGAGUUGGCGCCGUGCCGGAGCUAAUUCAAGGGAAUGCCGCCGCCUUCCAACCGGAGACGAGACUGUAUUAUGUGGCUGACAACCUGCGCAGCUUUCAAACAUGGUGGCUCCUUUUGGAAAAGGCUCGGAGUGGAGACCCCAACCGUGUCACUCGUGUCAUACAUAUGCACCUUACAAAGGGCUGCGAGCUUUACUACACAGAUGUGUUGGGUGUUCAUUUGGUUUUAACAAAUUUGAGACCUUAUCUUUUUUUUGUUGGGUUUGCAGCUUUUAUGUCAUUUUAAAUACAUAUGUGUAUGCUGUCAAUACACUAUAGAUUAACAUACACUAGUGUCAAAAACGCUUUUAUAUUAUAAAACGGAGGGAGUAGUCUGAUUUUCUCAACACGUAAGGGCUUCUUUGAUUCAAAGGAAUUGCAUAGGAUUUUUGGAGGAUUUGAAUCCUUAGGAAUUUUUCCUGUGAUGCUCGUUUGAUUCGUAGGAUUGGCAUCCUUAGGAAUUUUUCCAUAGGAUCCAUUUGUACUACAUUUUGGAGGAAAAUUUGCAUCCACUGAAACCUCUUUGUAGGAUUCCUUUGUUUUUCCUGCGCUAUCAAACAUUCUUUGAGAUCCUGUAGGAUACUAUGGGACAUGUCAUCCUAUUCCUGCAUUUUUCCUAUUCCUUCAUUUUGACAAUCCUGCGAAUCAAAGAGGCCCUAAAUUUUUUUUUAAACGGAGGCAAAAGAUUUGGCUCAUUCAUUAAUUAAGCAGAAAAGAACUGCCCAGUUAAUUAAUGAAAAACCAGGCGAAAAUCAUCACAAACUACUGAGUGACACCAAUGAAAGACCUACACGCGCCACUCACAAGAGGGCCUCGUCAAGACUGCACGUCGACAUCAUCGCCAUCACUUCUCCCCUAGAGGCAUCAUUGCCAUCCCAAACUAUGAGAAACGACUCCAACUUCACCUCAAGAGGGCCUCGUCAAGACCGCACCUCGAGCGUCAUCACCAUCAUUUCUCCCCUAGAGGUGUCAUCGCCAUCCCAAACUCUGAAAAACAACUCUGACUUCGCCAAAGGCGAUCAUCAAACCAACCCACCCUGAAUAGGCCGUGCGGAAUCACAUGAAGAUCCACAUCGGACCUCAGCCACUACAACAAGAAAGCACAGCUCUAACACCAACAGAGAGCUACGAAUGAACCAAGCAGCUGUGAAGUCGAAGCUACAGUGGCAGGGCCCGGUGGCAUAUGCUGACGAGUAGGUGGUCCGUUCGGUGAUCUUCCUCAACACGUAGUAUGACUUCAGUGCACACGACACAGUAUAUGCCCCCCUGGAGACCGACAACAGAACAACAGUUCCACAAGCAUGAGCACACUUGAAUUCAGGUGAGAGUGUGACCACUCCCAUUCCUGUCACGUAGAAAGAAGAAAACUCCCGUUUCGUACAGAAAUUCCAUGAGAAGCAAAAUGGCGCCACGUCGUAUUAUUUGUAUUCUUUGUUCUACGAAUCAGCAAAACCAGAUCACGACUCGGACACGAUUCACAUGGAGCACCUAUCUCACGCUUUUUCGACGCGGUAGCCAGGCUGCCUCUCUUCCUCAUCACUUAUUUAAGACGCCCGUCUGGGUUAAAAAAUCGUGACCGAACAAUGACCGGCGGUAAGGCCUUCCACAGCGUAGCCGGUGCCAAAUACAUCAAAAGGCAGCCACCUCAUCACCGGUGCCCAAAAUUGCUUUUCAGGCAUCGAUCUCACAACGUAGGGCUUCGGCAGGAAAAAGAUUUUGGGACCCAUAUGAUAAACAAGUACACCACGCUGCUGUGUAUUGAGCAAAGAGAGAGAAGACAUUUGCUGUUCAAAGUUGAGAGUUAAUAGUAUUUUAUUGGCUGGAGGAAUUGGGCAUCGUGUUCUUACUUGCUCCGAUGCCAUGAAAAUUUUGUUGGGGCACCGGCCUCACAACGUGAGGGCACCGGCUAUCGGAGGCAGAAGUUAAUUUGGCACCUCUUUUGGCCUACAUAAUGGAAGGUCUAAGAGGUGGGUUUGAGAGAUCGGUUGUAGAUGCUCUUAAUAAACUAGUACUAGAAGAAGAACAUGUAUAGGGGAGGAAGGGGACAUAAGUGAAUCCCGAACGGAAGCACGUACCUGCGGGUGAUGGCCGAGUCGAGAAACACGGUCGACGUUCGUGAUCGAGUUGGCGCCGUGCCGGAGCUAAUUCAAGGGAAUGCCGCCGCCUUCCAACCGGAGACGAGACUGUAUUAUGUGGCUGACAACCUGCGCAGCUUUCAAACAUGGUGGCUCCUUUUGGAAAAGGCUCGGAGUGGAGACCCCAACCGUGUCACUCGUGUCAUACAUAUGCACCUUACAAAGGGCUGCGAGCUUUACUACACAGAUGUGUUGGGUGUACAUUUGGUUUUAACAAAUUUGAGACCUUAUCUUUUUUUUGUUGGGUUUGCAGCUUUUAUGUCAUUUUAAAUACAUAUGUGUAUGCUGUCAAUACACUAUAGAUUAACAUACACUAAUGUCAAAAACGCUUUUAUAUUAUAAAACGGAGGAAGUAGUCUGAUUUUCUCAACACGUAAGGGCUUCUUUGAUUCAAAGGAAUUGCAUAGGAUUUUUGGAGGAUUUGAAUCCUUAGGAAUUUUUCCUGUGAUGCUCGUUUGAUUCGUAGGAUUGGCAUUCUUAGGAAUUUUUCCAUAGGAUCCAUUUGUACUACAUUUUGGAGGAAAAUUUUCAUCCACUCAAACCUCUUUGUAGGAUUCCUUUGUUUUUCCUGCGCUAUCAAACAUUCUUUGAGAUCCCGUAGGAUACUAUGGGACAUGUCAUCCUAUUCCUGCAUUUUUCCUAUUCCUUCAUUUUGACAAUCCUGCGAAUCAAAGAGGCCCUAAAUUUUUUUUUAAACGGAGGCAAAAGAUUUGGCUCAUUCAUUAAUUAAGCAGAAAAGAACUGCCCAGUUAAUUAAUGAAAAACCAGGCGAAAAUCAUCACAAACUACUGAGUGACACCAAUGAAAGACCUACACGCGCCACUCACAAGAGGGCCUCGUCAAGACUGCACGUCGACAUCAUCGCCAUCACUUCUCCCCUAGAGGCAUCAUUGCCAUCCCAAACUAUUGAGAAACGACUCCAACUUCACCUCAAGAGGGCCUCGUCAAGACCACACCUGGCGCGUCAUCACCAUCACUUCUCCCCUAGAGGUGUCAUCGCCAUCCCAAACUCUGAAAAACAACUCUGACUUCGCCAAAGGCGAUCAUCAAACCAACCCACCCUGAAUAGGCCGUGCAGAAUCACAUGAAGAUCCACAUCGGACCUCAGCCACUACAACAAGAAAGCACAGCUCUAACACCAACAGAGAGCUACGAAUGAACCAAGCAGCUGUGAAGUCGAAGCUACAGUGGCAGGGCCCGGUGGCAUAUGCUGACGAGUAGGUGGUCCGUUCGGUGAUCUUCCUCAACACGUAGUAUGACUUCAGUGCACACGACACAGUAUAUGCCCCCCUGGAGACCGACAACAGAACAACAGUUCCACAAGCAUGAGCACACUUGAAUUCAGGUGAGAGUGUGACCACUCCCAUUCCUGUCACGUAGAAAGAAGAAAACUCCCGUUUCGUACAGAAAUUCCAUGAGAAGCAAAAUGGCGCCACGUCGUAUUAUUUGUAUUCUUCGUUCUACGAAUCAGCAAAACCAGAUCACGACUCGGACACGAUUCACAUGGAGCACCUAUCUCACGCUUUUUCGACGCGGUAGCCAGGCUGCCUCUCUUCCUCAUCACUUAUUUCCACCAUGGAGAUGGUGGCCUCCAUCAGGCCGUAACUUUCUUCGACGUCACUGAGUUGCAGAUGGUGGCAAAGUCCGG
This 8715-nucleotide long non-coding RNA is filed under the name Triticum aestivum (bread wheat). Its description in RNAcentral is "long non-coding RNA (TAES_LNC007652)". Lineage: Eukaryota; Viridiplantae; Streptophyta; Magnoliopsida; Poales; Poaceae. The record is from RNAcentral.